AUGAGGUAGGGUCACAUGUUCUGCCGAUAACACCUUUUGAAAAGCAACAGGGAAUGAUGAUUUCAUCAGGUGUUUUUACAGCCAUAUUGUUUAAAACUGUAGUUAUCUAAAGGUCUAUUUUACGGGAAUCUAUAGAGUAAAAUUUCCAGUGCUAAGUCAUCACUGAUUGACUGGCAAAUUUACUCUGUAGAUUUCCGUGAAACAGACAUUUGAAUGCCUACCAAUAUGGCUUUAUAUACAGUUUAUUUAUAUGUCAAUAAGUGUAAGAAAAUCAAGUUUUAUAUAGAAUAGCUAUUGUGUAUGACAUUUGAGAGGACCCAUGAAGGAUUUUAAUCCUUUUAAAAUGUAAAAGACACGUUGUCCUGUCCCACAUGGACGUCCUGUCACAGAACACGUCCGACGAUUAAUGAUUGAUCUUUUUCGCAAUUCUACUUGACUUUCCCCAUUUCUGCCACACAGGUAACUUAUCAUUUGUGGUAAGGAGCAACGCGACGGGCCAGUUGCGCAACUCUGCGGAAGCUAAAGUUCAAGGCAGGCACCCAGUCCAUGGCACUUUAUCAUUAGUUUCCAAUCCUUUAGCCUUCCGGCCGUGGCACUUUAAAGGUUGUUCAGUACUGAACUGGACCUUGGACUGUUCUUCUUUUGACAGCGCUCUUGAAGUAUAAUCACCAGAGGCCCCUUACAGAU
This 687-nucleotide long non-coding RNA is filed under the name Astyanax mexicanus (Mexican tetra). RNAcentral's name for it is "lncRNA (ENSAMXG00005019124.1)". The record is from RNAcentral. Lineage: Eukaryota; Metazoa; Chordata; Actinopteri; Characiformes; Acestrorhamphidae.